UCCGGUUUGUCACCGGCAGUCUCAUUAGAGUGCCCAACUUAAAUGUAGCAACUAGGGACAAGGGUUGCGCUCGUUGCGGGACUUAACCCAACAUCUCACGACACGAGCUGACGACAGCCAUGCAGCACCUGUGUUCCCGUUCCCUUUCGGGCACAGCCCACUUUCGAGGGCCUCCAGGACAUGUCAAGGGUAGGUAAGGUUAUUCGCGUUGCAUCGAAUUAAUCCACAUCAUCCACCGCUUGUGCGGGUCCCCGUCAAUUCCUUUGAGUUUUAAUCUUGCGACCGUACUCCCCAGGCGGGAUGCUUAUCGCGUUAGCUUCGGCACGACAGGAUUGGGUACCUGUCACACCAAACAUCCAUCGUUUAGGGCUAGGACUAC
RNAcentral lists this unclassified non-coding RNA (379 nucleotides) under uncultured bacterium. RNAcentral describes it as "contains 16S-23S intergenic spacer region". The record is from RNAcentral.